GGUCAGUCGUCCCUAGUCCUACACUACCGUCACCCUUGCUGUUACAACAAGUUUGCUCCUCCAUUUAUGAGAGAAACUAGGACUGCUGUCACCCUUGCUGUUACAACAGGUUUGCUCCUCUAUUUAAGAGAGAACCUAGGACAGAGUCCGACUCUUAAUCUAUUCCUAACACCUAGUACAACUCUAAUUUCUAAACUGUAACCGACUACAUACACAUAUUUGACACAAGCUUGAACAGACUCCGUCUAGGCGAAUAUGCCACGUCAACUUGAAUUUGCUCCACGUGCGAACCUCUGUGUACCAAGAUUUGAGAUGGCUACUUUUUUCGCCGCUCGCGCUGAGUUGCCCUAACGAACAUCCACUAGGCUCACUUUAAAAAGAGACUCCGCUAUCCCUGUAACUUCUUCUUCUUGACUCCACCUGCAACAAUGUUUCACCUUCUUCCAUAUCAUUACAGUCGUCUUGUCGACCAAAUUUGAAUUCCUUCCUAGCUAUCACAUCAUAGACUCUCUAAAAACCAUGUUCAUCUCCAUCUACAUAUCUCUCCACGUAUGGGUACAUCGUAGAGUUACAUGCCAAACUCUUCUUGGCAAACUAGGGGAGAGCCGAUGCAU
This 614-nucleotide small RNA is filed under the name Oryza sativa Japonica Group (Japanese rice). RNAcentral's name for it is "sRNA Os12g0450900". Lineage: Eukaryota; Viridiplantae; Streptophyta; Magnoliopsida; Poales; Poaceae. The record is from RNAcentral.